UACAGAGGGUGCAAGCGUUGUUCGGAAUUAUUGGGCGUAAAGGGCGCGUAGGCGGUGCCACAAGUCACCUGUGAAAUCUCCGGGCUUAACUCGGAGCCUGCAGGCGAAACUGUGGUGCUGGAGUGUGGGAGAGGUGCGUGGAAUUCCCGGUGUAGCGGUGAAAUGCGCAGAUAUCAGGAGGAACACCUAUUGCGAAGGCAGCUCGCUGGGACGUUACUGACGCUGGAGGUGCGAAAGCGUGGGGAGCAAACAGG
RNAcentral lists this ribosomal RNA (254 nucleotides) under uncultured bacterium. RNAcentral describes it as "partial 16S ribosomal RNA". It matches the Rfam family "Bacterial small subunit ribosomal RNA", at positions 524 to 776 of the family's 1533-position model. The record is from RNAcentral.